Molecule: ribosomal RNA, 494 nt
Filed under: uncultured bacterium
Lineage: Bacteria
Description: partial 16S ribosomal RNA
Rfam family: Bacterial small subunit ribosomal RNA
Source: RNAcentral
GACGAACGCUGGCGGCGUGCUUAACACAUGCAAGUCGAACGGAAAGGCCUGCUUUCCCUUGUGGAUUGCGGGUACUCGAGUGGCGAACGGGUGAGUAACACGUGAGUGAUCUGCCCCCAACUUGGGUAUAAGCCUGGGAAACUGGGUCUAAUUCCCGAUAGGACUGCAGGGUGGUGCCUGUGGUGGAAAACGAUUUUCUAGUGGUUGGGGAUGAGCUCGCGGCCUAUCAGCUUGUUGGUGGGGUAAUGGCCUACCAAGGCGGCGACGGGUAGCCGGCCUGAGAGGGUGGACGGCCCCAUUGGGACUGGGAUACGGCCCAGACUCCUACGGGAGGCAGCAGUGGGGAAUAUUGCACAAUGGGCGGAAGCCUGAUGCAGCGACGCCGCGUGGGGGAUGACGGCCUUCGGGUUGUAAACUCCUUUCGACCGCGAGGAAGCCACCUGGUUGGAAGGGUGGUGACGGUAGUGGUAGAAGAAGCACCGGCUAACUACGUG